Molecule: long non-coding RNA, 823 nt
Organism: Bombina bombina (fire-bellied toad)
Lineage: Eukaryota; Metazoa; Chordata; Amphibia; Anura; Bombinatoridae
Exons: 2
Source: RefSeq, a predicted model, not a curated record
CAAAACUUAGAAGGCUUGAGGUUGCUGUGCUUGGAAAGCAGAAGAAUUGCCUAGCACAAUGUAUAAUGCUCUUCGAAAAGUGAAUAAAUUAUAGAAAAGGUGUCUGAUGCAAGUUUUUCCAGCUAAGAAGAAUAGAGUACCGUGGAGAACAGGGAGAAGGAGAGGCCAAACAUAGAGGAUGAGAGAAUUUGAACUAUCAGCAGGAGUCUCUCUUAUGAUUGCUCCCAACAUCUCUGGGCCCAAAGAGAGCAACAGAGAAGCCUAAUAUCCAUGCAGGAGCAAUCAGUAAAGGCUGGCAAAGACACCCAGCCCCUGUCUAGUAGUGACCCUCAAGAAAAUCCCUCUCAGCCUCCGCAGGAGAAUAGCUCCAGGGAGUCAUGCUCUAUUUGCUUAAUGGAAUAUGAAAUUAGAGACCUGCGGAUGGGCACUCCCUAUUCACCAUGUAUUUCAUGCUACCUGCAUAACAAGAUGGAUGCUAGAGAAUGAGACUUGUCUGCUUUGCUUUAGAAUAACUCCUCGGAACAAUGACUUUGUCCCACAUGAAGGCGUAGAAGGGAGAAUUAUAUAUUCUGGACCAUCGUACACCCUCACACAGUAUGGCAAUAUUUAUAUACUCAUUUUAUAGGUUGAACUUGAUAGACUUCUGUCUUCUUUCAACCUCAUCUACUAUGUUAGGCAUUGUAAUGGGUUAGGUCAUACCUGAGGACACAGAUUGCUUAAUGGAAUAUGACAUUUGAGACCUGCGGAUGUCCAGGUUUUUUGCUUUCUUUGGACCAACAGAUUGAAUGAAAAUGAAAUAAAUAAACAGAGCAUGACUUUAAAA